Molecule: ribosomal RNA, 562 nt
Filed under: Vibrio sp.
Lineage: Bacteria; Pseudomonadati; Pseudomonadota; Gammaproteobacteria; Vibrionales; Vibrionaceae
Description: bacterial SSU rRNA
Rfam family: Bacterial small subunit ribosomal RNA
Source: RNAcentral
AUAACGGCGUCGAGCGGCGGACGGGUGAGUAAUGCCUAGGAAAUUGCCCUGAUGUGGGGGAUAACCAUUGGAAACGAUGGCUAAUACCGCAUAAUGCCUACGGGCCAAAGAGGGGGACCUUCGGGCCUCUCGCGUCAGGAUAUGCCUAGGUGGGAUUAGCUAGUUGGUGAGGUAAUGGCUCACCAAGGCGACGAUCCCUAGCUGGUCUGAGAGGAUGAUCAGCCACACUGGAACUGAGACACGGUCCAGACUCCUACGGGAGGCAGCAGUGGGGAAUAUUGCACAAUGGGCGCAAGCCUGAUGCAGCCAUGCCGCGUGUGUGAAGAAGGCCUUCGGGUUGUAAAGCACUUUCAGUCGUGAGGAAGGUAGUGUAGUUAAUAGCUGCAUUAUUUGACGUUAGCGACAGAAGAAGCACCGGCUAACUCCGUGCCAGCAGCCGCGGUAAUACGGAGGGUGCGAGCGUUAAUCGGAAUUACUGGGCGUAAAGCGCAUGCAGGUGGUUUGUUAAGUCAGAUGUGAAAGCCCGGGGCUCAACCUCGGAAUUGCAUUUGAAACUGGCAGA